UACGGAGGGUGCAAGCGUUACCCGGAUUUACUGGGUGUAAAGGGCGUGUAGGCGGUCUCUCAAGUCCGAUGCUAAAGACCAAGGCUCAACCUCGGGAGUGCGUUGGAUACUGUGAGGCUAGACGGUCGGAGAGGGUAGCGGAAUUUCCGGAGUAGCGGUGAAAUGCGCAGAUACCGGAAGGAACGCCAAUAGCGAAAGCAGCUACCUGGACGAUUUGUGACGCUGAGGCGCGAAAGCGUGGGGAGCAAACCGG
This 253-nucleotide ribosomal RNA is filed under the name uncultured Meiothermus sp. RNAcentral's name for it is "partial 16S ribosomal RNA". It matches the Rfam family "Bacterial small subunit ribosomal RNA", at positions 524 to 776 of the family's 1533-position model. Lineage: Bacteria; Thermotogati; Deinococcota; Deinococci; Thermales; Thermaceae. The record is from RNAcentral.